ACUUGCGCUUCCAAAGUUACGAGGUUAUGACGCUGCAGGAGGCCUAUUUGAAGAUACCAAUUUGUGUACUAUCCACGCAAAACGCAUCACAUCAUGCCCAAGGUCAUUCAGCUGGCCCGUCUAAUCCAAGGAGAGCGUGCUAUAUUAGCUUAGCAUAUAAUCAACGGUCCUUUUCAGGGCUCCAAAUUUGAUGGAUUAGAGUUCAGAAAUGUUUUUUGCAGGCCAAACUGAAAGGAGUAUUUUCGUUUGGAUGCCAUUCAGCAUCGAGAAAAUUCCGGAAAGAUCUAAUCGUUGCUUAAAAAUGACCUGCCAGUUCCCUCGGAAUUGAAAAAUACAUUCAUUCGAAAGAGUUUAUUUUAAUGUUUUCUAUCCAUGUAACACUGCGAUCAAAUAUUUUUCAAUCAAGUGCUAUUAACAGGUGGUUAUCGAGUCAGUAUUAACCACUGGUUGGCUUCGAGUAUCAAGGAAAAUCUGGAAAACUCUAAUCGUUGCUGAAAAAUAAUCUGCCAGUUCCUCUGGGAAUUGAAAAAACAUUCAUGCGAAAGAGUUUAUUUUAAUGUUUUCUAACCAUAUAACACAGCGACCAAAUACAUUUGAUUUUGUAAUUUUUCAAUCAAGUGUAAUAAGCAGGAAAGCUUCUGGAUAUUAUUCUUCCCCAUCAGUAGGAUAUUUUCGAAUCCAAUAUUGUAUGCGCGCGCAACGGAAAAUGUUUCACAUUGCGUAAAUUAUAUAAUUUUCUAUCGAUUAUUGCUCAGUCGCCAUAAGUUUCAAACUCAGAGAGUUCAUUCCCGUCUAGUUUGCCUUCCAAAUUGCCAUCGUAAACCACACCUUCUUUCGAUUCAGUCACGAACAAAAAGCAUACUUAAGCGACAUUCUGGUGGUGAAACGUAUUCAUUUUUCGUGAGGACAUCGACAAGACAACAUCAUUACUGAACGAGCUGAACGGCGAGCGAUCGAGGGAUUCAUUACCUGGCCUGACCUGACCUGAAGCGCAAUCAGUUUGUUUUAACUGUGAGGGAGCACAGAAAAGUCGAUCGAACAGAAGGAGAAGAGAAGGUGACCAAGAGAGUGUCAGUAUCCAAAAACGGUUCCCCGGGAAGACAUCGAAGCAGCCGUCACACACACAAACACGCGCGGAAUUCUUUUCGUUUGGAUGCCAUUCAGCAUCGAGAAAAUUCCGGAAGGAUCUAAUCGUUGCUGAAAAUUAAUCUGCCAGUUCCCCUUGGAAUUGAAAAUUAUAUUCAAGCGAAAGAGUUUAUUUUAAUGUUUUCUAUCCAUAUAACACUGCGACCACAUACAUUUGGUUUUGUGAUUUGUCAAUCAAGUGCAGUUAGCAGGAAAGCUUCUGAAGAUUAUUCUUCAGAACAAGGUUUUUUGUAUCCAAUAUUGGAUGUAUAAAACCUUGUGCCUCCAAUGUAACGCUCUCGUUUUCGAAGUCCCCCAAAUAUUCAUUUAUUCAUUCAUUCAGAAUGGUUUUAGAUUCAACUUCAAACAAAUGAUUUCUAAAUCAACGAUAGUCCUACGUCACCCUUGCGGUUAUAGCAUAGAUAUAACCCAUUUCCUGUUUUUUACAAAUGCCAACGAAUGCAUUUGUCACCAAAAGAUACGAUUUGUUUUGUAAACAAAUUAGUUUUUUCAAGAGAAAUGGCCGAACAGCAAUUUCGACAUUGCGGUCCACCUAUAGUACAACGUCUUGGUCUGAGCCAAGGAAAGUGAAGUGGAAGGUAAAACGUAAUGUCAGAAUUGCUGUUCGGACGUAUCCCGUAAGUUUGAACUUAUUUACAUAGAUGGUAUCCAAACAACACUAAACAUUGACUACAGUUUCGCCGGCACGGUUGAUUGUCGUUAUGAACCAGCACAAAAAACAAAGCUGCAAAUUAUGCGCCAGUGGCGCUACCACGAUCAAAGCACUCCCUGAAUCUCAUUAACCGAGCCAGCUGGCGGAAGCAUAUGCAUAAAGGUUACUAGGUUACUAUUUUCAACGACAACUGUUUAUUUAUUAUACUGCUUCAAAUACCUUCGACCAAGGAAAGUGAAGUGUAAGGUAAAACGUAAUGUCAGAAUUGCCGUUCGGACGUAUCCCGUAAGUUUGAACUUAUUUACAUAGAUGGUAUCCAAACAACACUAAACAUUGACUACAGUUUCGCCGGCACGGUUGAUUGUCGUUAUGAACCAGCACAAAAAACAAAGCUGCAAAUUAUGCGCCAGUGGCGGUACCACGAUCAAAGCACUCCCUGAAUCACAUUAGCCGAGCCAGCUGGCGGAAGCAUAUGCAUAAAGGUUACUAGGUUACUAUUUUCAACGACAACUGUUUAUUUAUUAUACUGCUUCAAAUACCUUCGACGAAAUCAAAUGUAACCAUACCAACGUAAGUAAUAACAUAAACAAAUCCAAACUUUUCGUCUUGCCAUUCCUCAUACGUCUUUUCUAAAUACUGUAAAUUACGAGCCACCUGUUAACUCCACCAUCUUGCCUUCGACGAAAUCAAAUAUAACCAUACCAACGUAAGUAAUAACAUAAACAAAUCCAAACUUUUCGUCUUGCCAUUCCUCAAACGUCUUUUCUAAAUACCCUGGAGAAAAACUUUUGUACAUCCAGCUACCAAAUCUUUAGUAGUCGAAACAUUUGUAAAAUGUACACUUUUUUUGUAAAUAUUACAUAAACUUUGUUAAAGUGAUGUCAGAUGCAAUAUGCACCCCUAUCAAUGAUUCGUACGUUUUACUUCAUAGAAUGUGUAACCUUGAGUACUUUCAUUUCUGGCAACUGUGUGUAUGCAACCGUCAUUUCUCUAAUGGAAGCGAAGCGAUACGGAGCUUAAAAUCGUAGAAAUCCAUAGAAACGGUUUCACGCAGCCAUCGCAACCAACAGCAGCAAUGGACCGCCUCUCGAUCGAUUCGUUCCAGGAAACGAUGCAUAUCAGUUGGGCCAAUCGUACCGUCAGUAGUGAGGAAACCAACAACAACCAUUUUGCACUGAGCAAUCAACAGCUGCCGAUUCGGACAACAUCGACUCGGAUGGAAGCAGCAGCAACAGCGCAGAUUGUCGGUGUGAUUCCAUAUACUGUCUGCAGCAGAAACUCCACUAGCUGAUGAACGAUAUGCUACGGCGAAAGUAUCACAAUUUCAAACACAUCGUCACGACAACAUUAAUUCUACAGCCGUAAUUGGCGACGGCACCCAGUGAAAACCAUCAUCAUCACUACCACCGAUAGCAGUCCACUAAUCCUUCCAUCGAAGGAUCGGAGGGAAAGCGAUAUGUGUCCCAUUUGUGACACAAUUUCCUCCACAAAUAACGACUUCACGGAGCUCAACAACAGAAAAUCCGCGUCUGAAGAUGAUGGGGAAAGUCAGUUUGCGUGGUAAAUUUGCUUCAAGGCGCUUCGUUGCUGGAUCGGUACAUGCUGCCUCCGCUCGAAUUUGGAGCGUCACGUCAAGCAGUAACAUCCCUAAUUCUGCUCGUAUCGUCAGCACGGAGGCAAUCAUUAGAUGCGCGGCCGGAGCAUUCAACCGGCAAUCAAGCAAUCCGCCAAAGGAAAACAACUCCGACGCAGAGAUCCAAAUCCAUCGUCGACACGGCAGAAAAAAAGCCUAGCGCCAAACCGAGUCAACUGCCCCUACUGGUAUGGUUCCCUCGGAUAACAACAUCAGCAUAUGAUCGGAAAACAUCAGUCCACUGGAGAAAACUGCGAUCUCUUCGAAGGUAUUGCCCAUGACAGAUUCCACCGUGAAGAAGUAUUUUUCUGAUAUCGAACUCUAUUGGUAUUGGAAAAUCAAAAAUAAUCACAUCCAAUGUGCAGCGGUUCUAAGCUAACAUGUGGCUUGGGAUUUCCAGUAAAAUAGAAAUAACGCUGUUCUAUGUGUUGAACGCGGUUAUCAUAUUUGACAACGUAUUCGAAUAAGAGACACUCGUGACCAGUGUGAGCCACAUCAAAGAAAGCGAAGAGCGUACGGCAUGCAUUAUCGAGGUUUACUGUUUCGAUGUCCCGUUCGAGUACGUACGACGUGGUGUCAAUAUCCGGCGUCAAAUCAUCUUCGAAGAUGAGAACGAAAUGAUGCAAUUUGCGAUCCAGCAAAAUUACGCAAGUGUCCGAAAAGGCACACCUUUGAGUACUGUGAUAUCCAACUCGCUCGGUAAAAACAUACAGGAAAAGCUUUUCAAUAAAAAGCAAUUAUAAAAAUAAGAAUAGAAUAACAAUAUUAAUAAAAAUAAAAAUAUUUUAGAUAAAAAUUAUAUUGUACCAAUGG
This is a long non-coding RNA of Toxorhynchites rutilus septentrionalis, 4244 nucleotides long. RefSeq lists it as uncharacterized. Lineage: Eukaryota; Metazoa; Arthropoda; Insecta; Diptera; Culicidae. The transcript is spliced from 4 exons. The record is from RefSeq and is a predicted model, not a curated record.